AUUGAACGCUGGCGGCAGGCCUAACACAUGCAAGUCGAACGGUAACAGGAAACAGCUUGCUGUUUCGCUGACGAGUGGCGGACGGGUGAGUAAUGUCUGGGAAACUGCCUGAUGGAGGGGGAUAACUACUGGAAACGGUAGCUAAUACCGCAUAACGUCGCAAGACCAAAGAGGGGGACCUUCGGGCCUCUUGCCAUCGGAUGUGCCCAGAUGGGAUUAGCUAGUAGGUGGGGUAACGGCUCACCUAGGCGACGAUCCCUAGCUGGUCUGAGAGGAUGACAAGCCACACUGGAACUGAGACACGGUCCAGACUCCUACGGGAGGCAGCAGUGGGGAAUAUUGCACAGUGGGCGGAAGCCUGAUGCAGCCAUGCCGCGUGUAUGAAGAAGGCCUUCGGGUUGUAAAGUACUUUCAGCGGGGAGGAAGGGAGUAAAGUUAAUACCUUUACUCAUUGACGUUACCCGCAGAAGAAGCACCGGCUAACUCCGUG
This 490-nucleotide ribosomal RNA is filed under the name uncultured bacterium. Its description in RNAcentral is "partial 16S ribosomal RNA". It matches the Rfam family "Bacterial small subunit ribosomal RNA", at positions 30 to 507 of the family's 1533-position model. The record is from RNAcentral.